AUUGAACGCUGGCGGCAGGCCUAACACAUGCAAGUCGAGCGGAUGAAGGGAGCUUGCUCCUGGAUUCAGCGGCGGACGGGUGAGUAAUGCCUAGGAAUCUGCCUGGUAGUGGGGGAUAACGUCCGGAAACGGGCGCUAAUACCGCAUACGUCCUGAGGGAGAAAGUGGGGGAUCUUCGGACCUCACGCUAUCAGAUGAGCCUAGGUCGGAUUAGCUAGUUGGUGGGGUAAAGGCCUGCCAAGGCGACGAUCCGUAACUGGUCUGAGAGGAUGAUCAGUCACACUGGAACUGAGACACGGUCCAGACUCCUACGGGAGGCAGCAGUGGGGAAUAUUGGACAAUGGGCGAAAGCCUGAUCCAGCCAUGCCGCGUGUGUGAAGAAGGUCUUCGGAUUGUAAAGCACUUUAAGUUGGGAGGAAGGGCAGUAAGUUAAUACCUUGCUGUUUUGACGUUACCAACAGAAUAAGCACCGGCUAACUUCGU
Molecule: ribosomal RNA, 483 nt
Filed under: uncultured bacterium
Lineage: Bacteria
Description: partial 16S ribosomal RNA
Rfam family: Bacterial small subunit ribosomal RNA
Source: RNAcentral